CUAUCCAAGCAAAUUUCUACCCAUACUACCAUUCUAAACCUUCAAACUCUCCAUCAUCAAGAAUCCAGCACACACAAAAGAACUCUCUAAGGCCACCACGCAACCUACCAAUAGCCUCCCUACUCUCUAAACCAAAACCAUCGCUUUCAAACCAAAGCCUUCCUCCCAUUCACAAUAUAAAUGAUGGAUAUCUUUGCAUA
Molecule: long non-coding RNA, 200 nt
Filed under: Elaeis guineensis (African oil palm)
Lineage: Eukaryota; Viridiplantae; Streptophyta; Magnoliopsida; Arecales; Arecaceae
Description: long non-coding RNA (EGUI_LNC002570)
Source: RNAcentral